CCAGACUCCUACGGGAGGCAGCAGUGGGGAAUAUUGGACAAUGGACCGAGAGUCUGAUCCAGCAAUUCUGUGUGCACGAUGAAGUUUUUCGGAAUGUAAAGUGCCUUCAGUUGGGAAGAAAAAAAUGACGGUACCAACAGAAGAAGUGACGGCUAAAUACGUGCCAGCAGCCGCGGUAAUACGUAUGUCACGAGCGUUAUCCGGAUUUAUUGGGCGUAAAGCGCGUCUAGGUGGUUAUGUAAGUCUGAUGUGAAAAUGCAGGGCUCAACUCUGUAUUGCGUUGGAAACUGUAUAACUAGAGUACUGGAGAGGUAAGCGGAACUACAAGUGUAGAGGUGAAAUUCGUAGAUAUUUGUAGGAAUGCCGAUGGGGAAGCCAGCUUACUGGACAGAUACUGACGCUAAAGCGCGAAAGCGUGGGUAGCAAACAGGAUUAGAUGCCCUGGUAGUCCACGCUGUAAACGAUGAUUACUAGGUGUUGGGGGUCGAACCUCAGCGCCCAAGCAAACGCGAUAAGUAAUCCGCCUGGGGAGUACGUACGCAAGUAUGAAACUCAAAGGAAUUGACGGGGGCCCGCACAAG
RNAcentral lists this ribosomal RNA (581 nucleotides) under uncultured bacterium. RNAcentral describes it as "bacterial SSU rRNA". It matches the Rfam family "Bacterial small subunit ribosomal RNA", at positions 331 to 929 of the family's 1533-position model. The record is from RNAcentral.